RNAcentral lists this ribosomal RNA (306 nucleotides) under uncultured bacterium. RNAcentral describes it as "bacterial SSU rRNA". It matches the Rfam family "Bacterial small subunit ribosomal RNA", at positions 28 to 336 of the family's 1533-position model. The record is from RNAcentral.
GAUAAACGCUGGCGACGUGCUUCAGGCAUGCAAGUCGAACGGGUGCUAGCUUUCGGGCUAGUACUAGUGGCGGACGGGUGAGUAACACGUAAGCAAUCUGCCCGGUAGUGGGGAAUAACUAGCCGAAAGGCUGGCUAAUACCGCAUGUGAUGGUUUGUCUUUGGAUGGAUCAUGAAAGGCGUAAGUCGCUACCGGAGGAGCUUGCGGCCGAUUAGCUAGUUGGUGAGGAAUGGCCCACCAAGGCAACGAUCGGUAGCUGGUCUGAGAGGACGGUCAGCCACACGGGGACUGAGAUACGGCCCCGAC